AACUCCCCAACAAAAAUUAAUAUGCAACUGCCUUCCUGAAGUACACGUAAAACUACUGGCCCCUCUAAAACCCAACCUACCAAGGUAACCACACAAUCCAUAAUCAGCCCUUUCAACAGUAGUUAGGUGUAACUGAAGAUCAUAGUAUUGGAACAAGGCGGGUUUGGCGCCAAAAUAGUGUUAGCGAAGAUGGCGGCGAUGACGACAUCCAAGAUGGCGGCCAUGACGUCAUUCAAGAUGGUGGAUUUUGGCGGGAAGUUUGAAUUUUGGCGGGAAAGUGCGCCGCCCCCCCUCGCCCAGAAAAAUGGCGCAAAGUUCAAAUUCCAACAGGAUAAUGCACCACACCACGCUUAUCUCUACUAAGCAAAGAAAAUGGCGGGAAAUAAUGACUUGUCUUUAUUAUUUAACCAGUUUCAAGCAGGUGUAUUCUCCACUGGGUCUGGACUCCAAAUGGCUUCUAUAUUUUGUUAAAUAGUUUGUCGACAUCAGUCAACUUUUCUGCAUUAUGAAGCAUACAGGCAGCACCAGCGACUAUGCCACUGGCAGCAGCAACAGCAGCAGCAGCAGCGAAUGGGCUCAUGUGGACGAAGUUCCAUUACCUGGUAAGUACAUUUUCAGUGUUCUGAUAUCUGUACCCUUUAACUCCGUGUAUGAGUGCUACAUCUGUUUUGGACCAUUCUCUAUAAAGAUUGAGUGUGCAUGUGUUAUAUGUAUCUAUGUUUUGUGUCUAUAUGUUAUUUUUGUUUUGGAGUGCUCUCUAUACUGAUUGAGCUUCCACGUGUUCUGUGUUACAUGUUAUAUCCGUUUUGGACCCUCCCUACAAAGAUUGCUAGGUCUUUUAAUGGAUUGUGUGUGUUCUGUCUCUAAAUGUUGCGUGUCUCUAUGUUCUGUGUCUAUAUGUUCUGUGUCGUAUGUGUUAGAUUUGUUUCAGAGUGCUCUCAAUACUGCUUGAGCUUCCUCGUGUUGUUUGUCUAUGUGUGUGUGCCCACAUGUUCUGUGUUACGUGUUAUGUGUUAUAUCCAUUUCGAUCACUCUCUAUAAAGAUUUCAUUUGUUUGUUUUUGUCGAUAUGUUAUAUCUGUUUUGGUCCGCUGAUUUCUGUAUCAUUUAUGUCACUGCACUUCUUCUACAGACAUUUUUCUUCUCCAUACUCGAUAUUAUACUCGGUCUUUUCCAUCUUUCUACAUUACAUCCAUCCAGAACUUGAGGCACUUGAUCGGCAGCUAGAGAUGAGAAGGUGCAGGCGCUACUCGAAUCUAACUACUGUUCCUAAGUCCGCGAAUAGGGAGAGGUGUGUCGAGAAAGGCAUACAAGGCGGCGGUCAGAUGGCGUCCACUGCAGGGGACACCCAAAUUACUGAGUUUUUAGAGGAGGAGGAGGAACUUAAUCUGCUUGACUAGUUUGGGGGCCUUGUUGAAUGUGGCAAUGAGUUGCUCAAGCUAUGGAGCCAGAGCAGAGAAGGUAUAUCACACAGCAUAGCCCAUAUACCUAGAGCAGUGGUUGCAGGAGUGGUAACCAGGGGCACACAGCCACAAACACAUGCAGCGCCCUGUGUAGCCCCUGUCAGAGCUGCACAAGAGGCAGCAGCAGAAGCUCGUCAGCACCGCCCCCCGCCUUGUGGCGUCCCUGGGCAACUCAACAGGUGGGCCACGAAGAAGAAGAAGAACAACGGUCUUCCACCCCAACGCUUCUAUUUUUGGAGCUUGGGAUCCGUGGGGGACAUGGUCAAUGUGUUCACAGGCACGCCAAGGCAAAUAACCUGCAGAUGGGUGUCGAGUUCAAUGCACCCCUUGAUUCUAGUUACAUUUUGUACUUAGAUGUUAACAACUUAUACAGGCACUCUAUGAUGCAGUCACUGCCGGUUGGAUGGUCUUGGUGGCUGUCCGAAAACGAAUUGAAGGGAUUAGGUGGAGAAAUAAUGGGUCUUGCUGCUGAUUCUGAUGUAGGAUAUGUGCUUGAGACAUACCCUAAUAAUUUGCAUGGAGAGACAAGCGACUUGCUGUUAUGUCCAGAGCAACAAAUUCUGCGAGGAAACACCACCCCUAAACUGUUGGCUACUGUUGGAGAUAAGCAGAGCUAUAUUAUUCAUUAUUGUAACCUCCAGCAAUGCCUCAGAUUAGGGAUGAAGCUUGUUAGAGUCACCUGGGCAAUCUCCCUCAAGCAAUCUCCCUGGUUGAACGAGUAUAUUGAACUAAAUGCCGAAAAGAAGGUGGUAGCAAGCAAUGAUCUUGAAAAUGACUUUUAUAAAUUAAUGAAUAAUUGCAUUUUCGGGAAAACUAUACAGAAUGUAUGAAAUGAACGAGAUAUUUUCAUUAGAACCGAAUGGGAAGGGCGCUAUGGCGUGAGAAAAUGUAUAGCCAGACCAAAUUUUAAGUGUGCCACCGCCUUCAAUGAAAACUUUGUUGCUUUGGAGAUGUCGAAGACUGCAGUAGAGUUUAUGAAGCCUAUCUAUUUGGGGAUGUGGAUACUGGAUAUCUCCAAAUUCUACAUGUACCGAUUUCACUAUGAGUUUGCGAAACCUCAUUUCGUAGAACCAAAGUUACAUUAUAUGGAUACAGACAGCUUUAUCUACUGGAUCAAGAACUGUGAUCCAUAUGAAGUAAUUAGGUGCAAUGGUAAAGAAUUUGACAGGUCUUCUUAUGGGGCCAAUAAUCCUUACAGUAUUGUUCCUCAGAACAAGAAGGUUAUCGGUCUCAUGAAAGACGAGUCAAAUGGUUUACCAAUUGUAGAGUUUGUGGGAUUGAGGUCCAAAAUGUAUGCAUAUCGUACAAUAGACAGGGACACUUAGAGGCGGGCAAAGGGUGUUAGACACAUAGCAUCUCAUGUUGUUAUGGUCGAGGACUAUUUGCAAUGCCUGUAUGGUCGCAGCAUUCAAGGUGCUCGUCCACACAUGGUUCAACAAACUAGUAUUCAAUCACAAAGUUAUGACGUGUACGUUGUGCUACAGUCUAAAAUCGGAUUGUCUCCUCAUGAUGAUGAAAGAGUCAUUUGUGAGGAUGGGGUGGAAACCCUUCCAUGCUUACACUAUUUACUUGAAACGAAAGUAAAGGUGUGCUCUCUCGUUGGUAGAUAGAGAGAGAAUGAGUGUGUGAAUGGGGGUUAUGCAUGGAAAUAGUACGGCUCUUCUAUCAUAGUGUAAAUAUCAGAUGAGUGUGUUGUGUGGUGUGUAUCAGUCUGCAUGCUUCCGUGUAUGUCUGAGUGUGGGAGCCUGUGUUAAGUGUAUGUCUGUGUAAAUAUAUAUUCAUUAUUUUGGUAAAGAAAAUGAUAAAAAAGCAAAAAAUAUAAAAACUGAAAAAUUAUUUAGAAAAAAAGUCUCUAUGUAUGUAAAUAUUUUUCAUCCAUAUUACUAGUCAAUAUAUGAACGAAACCUAACUUUUUUCACGUCAUUUGUACCUGUAUAUGAAGAAAAAACCAAGUUUUUGCACUUCAUAUGUGCUUCUGUGUGAGUGGUCGUAGAUUACAUUUUAAUUGUAAGUUUCACGUAUGGCUAGCCAUCCAGUCAGAACUAGUUUUAAGUAUGUGAGUUCCACCCAAUUAAAUUCUUUAUAUAUGUUCACUUGCUUGUCGUAGUGGAAGAUAUUUAGAGCUAUCGACUUCAAAGAAAUAUAUAUGUUCACUUGCUUGUUGUAGUGGAAAAUGUUUAGGGCGACUUACUUCAAAGAAAUAUAUAUGUUCAGUUGCUUGUGGUAGUGGAAAAUGUUUAUAGCAAACCACUUCUAAGAAAUAUGUUCGCCUUUAAUAAAAAGUCUUUUCUUUUUCAGGUGGAACUUCACUAGCGAUAGUAUUGACUGUGUAAGAUAGUGUAAUUAGCUUGUAGUACCUCUGCGUUAGCUUUAAACUUAUAUAUAUAUUUGUGUGUGUGUGUGUGUGUGUGUGUGUGUGUGUGUGUGUGUGUGUGUAAAUGCUAAUCAUUUAUCUGAGCAGAGUGCUCAUAUUUCUGAAUAAUGUAAAAUCUGAAAAACCUAUCUGCAAAUAUGAGAACGUCCACAUUUUUCAUAAAAAAAUGUAAAUCUUAAUCAUGUAUCUGUAAACUGUUAUAAUGUGAAAACUGAAUGAUGUAUGU
Molecule: long non-coding RNA, 4062 nt
Organism: Schistocerca cancellata (South American locust)
Lineage: Eukaryota; Metazoa; Arthropoda; Insecta; Orthoptera; Acrididae
Exons: 3
Source: RefSeq, a predicted model, not a curated record